CCACAGGCUAGGGUUGGGGGUUAUAAAUUAUAUCCUGUCCCUUUGGGGAAAAACUCAUCAACUGUGUGUUGAUCCAGGGGAAAGAGAGGGCUGAGCGCAACCCACCACGGGAGUCAACUAUUAAUCUCCUGAUUGAUGGCAUAUCUUAUUCCUGGGAACAUCAGCACAGGUGGCGGAAUUGGUGGCUUUGACAGAAGCAUGCAAACAGGAUGAAGGGAAAACGGCUAAUAUCUACACAGACUCAAGUUGCUGCUCCCGAAGCUGCUCCUGAAGAAGUCACAGAUACAGACAGUGACACAGAAGAUGUGAGAACUAAGCCAGACC
Molecule: long non-coding RNA, 324 nt
Filed under: Salmo salar (Atlantic salmon)
Lineage: Eukaryota; Metazoa; Chordata; Actinopteri; Salmoniformes; Salmonidae
Description: lncRNA (ENSSSAG00000085720.1)
Source: RNAcentral